This is a long non-coding RNA of Bubalus bubalis (water buffalo), 913 nucleotides long. RefSeq lists it as uncharacterized. NCBI's taxonomy places the organism in Eukaryota, Metazoa, Chordata, Mammalia, Artiodactyla, Bovidae. The record is from RefSeq and is a predicted model, not a curated record. The transcript has 5 exons.
GACUGAUGAGCGUAUCUAGCUGCUGGAUGAGAAAGAGACUCAGAGCAACGACCUUUUCUCAUUAAGGGCCUGGAUCAUGCCUGUUCUACCCGAUAUUCCUUCCUGUCCCUGCACAUAUGCUGGUUUCUUUUAACACAGACUACAUGGGAUACACAGAGGAGCAUGUGGCUGCCAAUGAAUAUGGGGCUUCUGGCCUGUCAGAUAAAACAGGCACACCUUCUGGAUGCAGUGUGUUCAGCUGAGGUGGAAGAGGAAGGUCAUGUGGGCUCAGGCCCUGUCCUGCUAAUUGACUCUCUCUACACAUGCAUCUGAGAAGGAGUUGAGGAUUUAGAUUCAGGAGGCAGAAGACCUAAGCCUUCUGCUCCAAUUCCAUUCUUUACCAGGGGUCAUCAGAUGCUGGCUUGAAAGGGGAUCUUCCUGACCCAGGGAUCGAACCCAGGUCUCCUGCGUCUCCAGCAUUGCUGAUGGAUUCUUUACCACCACACCAUCUGGAAGCCCUAGUAAGAGAGCCGUCGUAGGCAGUACAGAGAUUACUGAGUGUGGCUGUGUCACACUCAUGUUUUAAAAACCUUUUUAUUUUUAAAAAGAGUAUUAGAGUAUAGUCAAUUAACAAUGUUGCAAUAAUUUCAAGAGAACAACUAAGAGACUCAGGCAGACAUAUACAUGUUUCCAUUCUCCCCCAAACUCCCCUUCCAUCCAUGGUGCCACGUAACAUGGAGCAGAAUUCCAUAUGCUAUCCAGUAGGUCCUUGUUGGUUAUCCAUUUUAAAUACAGCGACACAUUCAUUUUUAUAUGGAUCAUAUUUUAUCUAUAAAUACUAUUUAUGGACACUGAAAUUUGAAUUUCAUAUUGUUUUCAAGCACCUUGAAAUGUUACUCUUUUUAUUUUUUUCAGCAAUUUAUAAAUAUGAAAA